UAAAAAUAUAAACUUAACAAAAAAAUUGUAAAAAUAUGAAGAUGAUGUAAAUAAAAUUAUAUAUUUUGAUAAUAUAAAAGAUAUGAAAAUUUGUAAAAUCUAACUUAUAAAUAGGAAAAAGAAAAUCCUAAUUGUCUUACUCUAAAGAAAAAAAUUGCAUUUCUUAUUUUGGAAUUCUUCAGAUCAAAGACACAAACAUAUCUUAUUUUAAUUCAUCAGAUCAGGCUGCGCCUGCUUCUUCUUCUUCAACUGCAAAUCAGAGAAAAACACAUUCAAGUUUAGUGUUUGGUUUUUCAAUAACCCAGUAAUGUUUUAUCCCAAAUGGUCACAAUGUCAAACAAUCGCUUAUUUUUUUUUACCUUUUUCCAGCUCCUCCUUAACUAACUUCUCCCUAUGCGCUGAUACCAGAUCGUGAAGGUGAAGAUAUGCUAAAUCGAAAUUUUUAUCGACGAAAAUUUAAGCAUCAUUAUAUUCAAGAAAAUAAAUAUUAAGAUCGUAAAAACAAUUCUUUCAGUCUCUCUAUUAGAAUAUAUAUAUAUAUAUAUAUAUACCUAUUAGAUAUCCCGCAGUCAGUCUUCCAACUGGUUUGGAAAGUUUGCGAAAUCUCUCCAUCAUUCCUUAACAAAAGAUUUUUAGAAAAAAUAUUAAUAUGAUAAGAUUUUAUGAGGAAUCAGAGCUUUUGAUCUUAACUUUACCUUUGCUAACGGCGGAUGUAGAGAAACUGCGGCGAGAGAGAAGCCCUCUCCCUCCGCGUGAUGCCAGCGCAGAGACAUAUCUCAACGGCGACAUAGUCGGCACAAUUGUUAUUAGUAUAGCCUUAGCUUAGGGGUGUUCAAUAGGCUAUAAUUUCUUUAAUCUCUAUCCUGUUGGGCCUUGGGCCGAAUCGUUUUCGGGCUUGUAAAAAUUGCGGUUCCUAAUACGAUUGUUUUUAAGUACUGAACUGUAACCAAUUGUAUCAUUCUAAAAUUUACAUACAUACUUGAUCUAUGUAUGCCGCUGAUCAAACAUACGUAUAAGCAAAGCAAAGCAUGGAUGAUGAUGAGCUAAUGCAUUUAUUCUAUCGAUGUCUCUGUGUACUAAAACAACAACUAUGGUUUAUAUCAAAAACUUGUGCAUUUCUCUUUCACG
RNAcentral lists this long non-coding RNA (1128 nucleotides) under Arabidopsis lyrata. RNAcentral describes it as "long non-coding RNA (ALYR_LNC002269)". Lineage: Eukaryota; Viridiplantae; Streptophyta; Magnoliopsida; Brassicales; Brassicaceae. The record is from RNAcentral.